Molecule: transfer RNA, 74 nt
Filed under: Saccoglossus kowalevskii
Lineage: Eukaryota; Metazoa; Hemichordata; Enteropneusta; Harrimaniidae
Description: tRNA-Thr
Rfam family: tRNA
About the family: Transfer RNA (tRNA) molecules are approximately 80 nucleotides in length.
Source: RNAcentral
GGAGCCAUGGCUUAGUUGGUUUAAGCGCCUGUCUAGUAAACAGGAGAUCCUGAGUUCGAAUCUCAGUGGUGCCA